RNAcentral lists this unclassified non-coding RNA (377 nucleotides) under uncultured Oligoflexaceae bacterium. RNAcentral's name for it is "contains 16S-23S intergenic spacer region". The record is from RNAcentral. Lineage: Bacteria; Pseudomonadati; Bdellovibrionota; Oligoflexia; Oligoflexales; Oligoflexaceae.
UCCGGUUUAACACCGGCAGUCUCCUCAGAGUACCCAACUUAAUGCUGGCAACUAAGGACAAGGGUUGCGCUCGUUACCGGACUUAACCGAACAUCUUACGACACGAGCUGACGACAGCCAUGCAGCACCUAUCACCAUGUCCCCGAAAGGAACGCUACAUCUCUGUAGUUGUCAUGGGAUGUUAAAGGUAGGUAAGGUUCUGCGCGUUGCUUCGAAUUAAACCACAUACUCCACCGCUUGUGCGGGCCCCCGUCAAUUCCUUUGAGUUUUAGCCUUGCGACCGUACUCCCCAGGCGGGAUACUUAAUGCGUUAGCUUUAGUACUCAGGAGGUUAACUUCCCAAACACUUAGUAUCCAUCGUUUACGGCGUGGACUAC